Non-coding RNA from Meleagris gallopavo (turkey), 1848 nucleotides. Lineage: Eukaryota; Metazoa; Chordata; Aves; Galliformes; Phasianidae. The record is from RefSeq and is a predicted model, not a curated record.
GCUCUCGGGCCGGAGCGCGGCAUGGCCGCGUCCAAAGCCCCGCUGCUCUUUUUUUCCCUACCGCCAACGCGGUCUCUGCUGAGAACGUGAAAGACGGGAAAAAGUCAGGUCUGGAACAAAGCCUUUCCAGUUGCGAGUGUAACUUAAUGGUUUCGUUUACUUGGAAGAGCCGUGGCUUACGAAUUGAUUGCAGUUUCAUGCGGGAAUAAGCAUCCCCACGUGCUGGGCACGGCACUCCCAUACGCUGAGCAGACCCCCGGCCCUGCGCUCACUGCCCUCCCCUCCGGCUCAGGCCGGUGGCAGACUGAAGCAGCCAUCACCAAUCCCUCCUCUUUCUCUCCAAGCGACAUCUGUCAAAUUAUCUGAGAUCCUCACCGCCCACAAGAAUACAGCAUCACUGCAUGCAUCUUAGCAAUUCGGCAAUAACCUGAAAUAAAAAAAUCAGUUGGUUUACUCCCUAAGUAAAUCUGGCCCAGAACAGCUCUACAUGUGUUUGGCAUGGAGAAAUGAUCUCUAACCAGGACCACCUUGCCUUUAAGGACUUAUCACAGAAAAGACAACUGAGGCUUUACUAAGCAAAAUAUGACAGGAAUUGGCUAGUACUUUGACAUGAAGUGAGGCAGUGCGGUAUUGAUAUUGAGGAGCUGCUACAGCUCCUAAACUUCCUGCAAGACUAAAACCAAGCCAUGCCCACAAUCCACACCAGAGCAGAAGCGUGCCUUGUUGCCCGAGGAACCAUGGCUGAUGGUGGGUUGGUACCAUCCCAAGGAGAAACAGUAUGUUCAGAAACUUGGUGGCCCAUGCGUAUCCACUUCAGACAAACCAGAGCCCUGCUACCUUUAGAAAAACCUACAGAAACACGUCCUUCCUGCCCACAGGUCAUUGCAGCACUGCUGUGGGAUUCCCAGUUCAAUGGGGCACUACUUUUCAUGAUGCAGGAAACAGUUAAUGACAAGGAAGAUGCCAUUCAUUACUUAGGUUUUCAUUGACAACAUUUCUUAAUGUGUCAGAGCUAGUGCUGACUUUAAGGUGUCCUUUUAUUUGUAAAGCCACAUUGCUUUGGUGCUAACAUUUAAAUCAUAGGAUCACAGAAUGCCUUAGUCGGGUACCUUUUAGAAUUCUCCAGACACAUUCUAAAAGAUUCAUUCUGUAGCAUCAUAAAUGUGCACAAUGCUCUUCAGUCACAAUCAAACGUCACCUGGUGGGCAAAUGGGUGACCCCUCACAGCACUGAGCAGUGGGCUCUGCACACACCCCAAACGUUAAAACUGAAAUGUAGCCCUAAUAAUACCAAAUAAUUAUUACUCGUUAUUAAUUUUGUUAAAAAUAAUACAAAUAUUUUUUUUAUUAGAUCUUUUUCUUUGCCUUCAGUUUUUUCAGGAGCGGAAUAGUCUGCUAUUACUGUUUGCUGGGUACACAGCACCUGUGACAUCAGGCGUGACUCAUGGUGGGAGAAAUGGGGAAAGCGCCACUCAGUAGGAUUGCACUGGAUAUAAACAGAGAUGGUGCUGCGUAUCUGCAUACAAGGGAAGGGAGUGAAAUGCUUGUGUGCUAUUUCUCCCAUGAAAAGCUGUGUGCACUGUGGACCCUCCCCAUGCUACACUGAUGCUCUCCCACCACCAGAGCUGCAGUGCUGACUAGAAUCUUCCAGUCUGCGUCCUGGAGACUCAAAAUGCAGCUUUGGCGUGAGUACAAGCUUUAGCUCUGCUGAACUGCUACUUCACUCUGUGAUGACACUGUGCUGGGAACAGAGGAGCUGCUUUGCUUGAUCAGAUCUGACACCCACCUAGUCCAGUGUCCUCUCCUUGCUUAUGUCCACAAAAGUCAUAUUUCAUGCACAUCCUCCCUC